This 253-nucleotide ribosomal RNA is filed under the name uncultured bacterium. RNAcentral's name for it is "partial 16S ribosomal RNA". It matches the Rfam family "Bacterial small subunit ribosomal RNA", at positions 524 to 776 of the family's 1533-position model. The record is from RNAcentral.
UACGUAGGUGGCGAGCGUUGUCCGGAUUUAUUGGGCGUAAAGCGCGCGCAGGUGGUGCGGUAAGUCUGUCGUGAAAUCUCCCGGCUCAACUGGGAGGGUGCGGUGGAGACUGCCGGACUAGAGGCACUCAGAGGCCGGUGGAAUUCCCGGUGUAGUGGUGAAAUGCGUAGAGAUCGGGAGGAACACCAGUGGCGAAGGCGGCCGGCUGGGGGUGACCUGACGCUGAGGCGCGAAAGCGUGGGGAGCGAACCGG